Long non-coding RNA from Homo sapiens (human), 928 nucleotides. Ensembl annotates it as SPOPL divergent transcript. Its record names the gene SPOPL-DT. Lineage: Eukaryota; Metazoa; Chordata; Mammalia; Primates; Hominidae. The record is from Ensembl.
CCCGGAUUUGCCGCCGCGCUUGGGAAGCCGCCACCGCCGCCGCUGCUGCAUGGCACUAGGCUCCCGGCGGGGCAGGUUCCGCAGCCGGCACCGCUCUGGCUAGGCGCACGGAGGCGCCUUGCUUAGUCUGACCCUUAUUUGGCCAGGCGUAAAACUUGUCCUGCCUAAAAGCCUACUGAGACCUCCUAACUGGUCUAAUCCGCGGGAGACGCCAAAGGCGGCGGCCGUUUGUGCGCACAGGAUUUUUCUUGGAGCUGUAGCAGUCUAGGAAGCCAGGGUGGAACUUUUGCUAAGCUCCCGUUGUAAGCCCAGAGCUGUAAUAACUGCUGAGACACAACCAGCAGUAUACAGGCUCCAGUUGGAAAUCGAGAACUUUCCAGGGCUGUCACCCAGGCUGGAGUGCAGUGGUGCCAUCACAGCUCACUGCAGCCUCGACCUCCUAGGCUAAAGUGAUCCUCCCAACUCAGCCUCCCGUAGCUGGGACUACAGGAAUGUGCCACGCCCAGGGAACUAAUGGCUGGACUUUAGAAAUAGCUAGGCCUGCACUUUUUUCCCUGCUAAGAAAGGGAGUACUUAGCAGCUGUGUUGAAGAAAACACAAUAAAACAAAGAAUAACAACGAAACAGCUGAAUGAUUUAAGUCACCAAAUGGCUCCUCCUGGAAGCAGGGCAAUCUAUGAUUAUGAUGUUUGUCAUCUCAGGUGAUUUGGCUGAUUUGCCUAGGCAGCUCUUCUGGCAGGUGUGAAGUGGUAUCUCACUAUGGCUAAUAGGCAUUAUUUCUCUGGUGACUAUGGAUGUCAUGCACAUUUUCAUAAGUUUAAUGGCCAUCUAGAUAUCCCUUUCUGUGAAGGACCUGCUCAAGUCUUUGUGCAUUUUUCUAUUAGAAUGUGUCCUUUUUUAAAUAAAAAAUUGAUUUGUACAUUUUUAAA